UUUAGAUUAAAGGAGGAGAAUAAGGCAAGCAGUUGCUUGACCAAGACAAGGUGGAUGCCAUCAUUGAAUAUGCUAUGGGAAGAUUGCUAGGAGUGACCUCCGCAGAAAUAAGAGGAAGAUGGGCCAAAAACUGAAGGACACCAGGGUAGCACGCAGGAGAAAGCCUGUCAAAUGGUCAUACAGCAUCCAAGGGCAACUUCUUGAGACUGGAAACUGCUAAAUAUCUUGAUGUUCACCUCAAGAGCAACCUGAAUUGGACAGAUCACAUAAAGACAACAACAAAUAAAGCCAGCUCUGUCGAUGCAUUUUUGCAGUGGAACAUUAGGCCUUGCCUAAGAAAAACGAAAACGUUGUGCUUCUUUGCUCUUGUUCGCCUAAUCCUGGAGUAUGCGUGCACAGUGUGGGAUCCUCACACCCAGGACAACAUACACAGGCUGGAAAUGGUACAGCUCCGCAACGCCCGGUUUGUCACUGGACAUUACCAUCAUACCAGCAGCAUCGCACCAAUGCUGCAACAUCUCAAAUGGCCAUCUCUCCGAGAACGCAGGGCAUGGUUUAAGAUGGUGAUGGUGUACGGGACUGUCAACCUGCACUCAGAGUUUCUCAAAAUCUACCUUCUAUCGGUGUUAACAUCCAACCAUGGUCAUACGCAGCAAUUCCAAAUACAAUUUACAAGGACUUCCUGAUUUCAUCAUGCUUUGGAACUUGCUACCUGCUGGAUUUGUCAACUGUACCUCCGCUAAAGCUUUUAAGCAAGAUGUACAAAAUGUCCAUCUCCAUUAGAAGGGGAAGAAGAAUUUUUAACUGCACAUAGAAUAUUAUAGAAAGUUUUAAAUUUGCACUGUAUAUUCGCGACACAAGACCUGACGUACGUGAUACACCAUACGGUGGACUGAAGUGAUAUCUCAAGAUCUGGGGGAUGAUAAUUCGGGCUUUAACAAAUUGCAUGAUAGUGGAGGUACUAUUUUUGACUACACAGUCGGAAGUUCCAUCUAGUUAUAAUAUCCUAACAUCAGUAUAGUAUCGCUAGAACAAAA
Molecule: long non-coding RNA, 1037 nt
Organism: Strongylocentrotus purpuratus (purple sea urchin)
Lineage: Eukaryota; Metazoa; Echinodermata; Echinoidea; Camarodonta; Strongylocentrotidae
Exons: 2
Source: RefSeq, a predicted model, not a curated record